CCUACGGGGGGCAGCAGUGGGGGAUAUUGCACAAUGGGGGGAACCCUGAUGCAGCGACGCCGCGUGGGUGAAGAAGCGCCUCGGCGCGUAAAGCCCUGUCAGCAGGGAAGAAAAUGACGGUACCUGAAGAAGAAGCCCCGGCUAACUACGUGCCAGCAGCCGCGGUAAUACGUAGGGGGCAAGCGUUAUCCGGAUUUACUGGGGGUAAAGGGGGCGGAGACGGCGUGGCAAGCCAGGAGUGAAAGCCCGGGGCCCAACCCCGGGACUGCUCUUGGAACUGCGUGGCUGGAGUGCAGGAGGGGCAGGCGGAAUUCCUGGUGUAGCGGUGAAAUGCGUAGAUAUCACGCAGAACACCGAUUGCGAAGGCAGCCUUCCGGCGCCCUACUGACGCUGAGGCACGAAAGUGCGGGGAGCGAACAGGAUUAGAUACCCCUGUAGUC
This 440-nucleotide ribosomal RNA is filed under the name uncultured bacterium. RNAcentral's name for it is "partial 16S ribosomal RNA". It matches the Rfam family "Bacterial small subunit ribosomal RNA", at positions 338 to 795 of the family's 1533-position model. The record is from RNAcentral.